AGCCCACGAAGUGAGAUACGCCAAAUGCAAAUUUGGAGAAGCUCCCCCAUAGGGAGCCGGGGCUU
RNAcentral lists this transfer RNA (65 nucleotides) under Hemiphyllodactylus ngwelwini (Ngwe Lwin's slender gecko). Its description in RNAcentral is "tRNA-Cys". The record is from RNAcentral. Lineage: Eukaryota; Metazoa; Chordata; Lepidosauria; Squamata; Gekkonidae.